RNAcentral lists this unclassified non-coding RNA (352 nucleotides) under soil metagenome. RNAcentral's name for it is "partial contains 5.8S ribosomal RNA, internal transcribed spacer 2, and large subunit ribosomal RNA". The stretch from base 1 to 120 matches the Rfam family "5.8S ribosomal RNA", at positions 35 to 154 of the family's 154-position model. The record is from RNAcentral.
GAUGAAGAACGUAGCGAAAUGCGAUAAGUAAUGUGAAUUGCAGAAUUCAGUGAAUCAUCGAAUAUUUGAACGCACAUUGCGCCCGCCAGUAUUCUGGCGGGCAUGCCUGUUCGAGCGUCAUUUCAACCCUCAGGCCCCCAGUGCCUGGUGUUGGGGAUCGGCCCAGCCUUCCUGUAAGGCCGCCGGCCCCGAAAUCUAGUGGCGGUCUCGCUGUAGUCCUCCUCUGCGUAGUAGCACAACCUCGCAGUUGGAACGCGGCGGUGGCCAUGCCGUUAAACACCCCACUUCUGAAAGUUGACCUCGGAUCAGGUAGGAAUACCCGCUGAACUUAAGCAUAUCAAUAAGCGGAGGA